Molecule: ribosomal RNA, 758 nt
Filed under: Corynebacterium pseudotuberculosis
Lineage: Bacteria; Bacillati; Actinomycetota; Actinomycetes; Mycobacteriales; Corynebacteriaceae
Description: bacterial SSU rRNA
Rfam family: Bacterial small subunit ribosomal RNA
Source: RNAcentral
UGCCUCGUACUCUGGGAUAAGCCUGGGAAACUGGGUCUAAUACUGGAUAGGACCGCACUUUAGUGUGUGUGGUGGAAAGUUUUUUCGGUACGAGAUGAGCCCGCGGCCUAUCAGCUUGUUGGUGGGGUAAUGGCCUACCAAGGCGUCGACGGGUAGCCGGCCUGAGAGGGUGGACGGCCACAUUGGGACUGAGAUACGGCCCAGACUCCUACGGGAGGCAGCAGUGGGGAAUAUUGCACAAUGGGCGCAAGCCUGAUGCAGCGACGCCGCGUGAGGGAUGACGGCCUUCGGGUUGUAAACCUCUUUCGACAGGGACGAAGCUUUUUGUGACGGUACCUGUAUAAGAAGCACCGGCUAACUACGUGCCAGCAGCCGCGGUAAUACGUAGGGUGCGAGCGUUGUCCGGAAUUACUGGGCGUAAAGAGCUCGUAGGUGGUUUGUCGCGUCGUCUGUGAAAUUCCGGGGCUUAACUCCGGGCGUGCAGGCGAUACGGGCAUAACUUGAGUGCUGUAGGGGAGACUGGAAUUCCUGGUGUAGCGGUGGAAUGCGCAGAUAUCAGGAGGAACACCGAUGGCGAAGGCAGGUCUCUGGGCAGUAACUGACGCUGAGGAGCGAAAGCAUGGGGAGCGAACAGGAUUAGAUACCCUGGUAGUCCAUGCCGUAAACGGUGGGCGCUAGGUGUGAGGGUCUUCCACGACUUUCGUGCCGUAGCUAACGCAUUAAGCGCCCCGCCUGGGGAGUACGGCCGCAAGGCUAAA